CUCUCUCUCUCUCUCUCUCUCUCUCUCUCUCUCUCUCUCUCUCUCUCUCUAUAUAUAUAUAUAUAUAUAUAUAUAUGGUAAAUUGUAUUGUUACCCCCUGAACUUUUGGCGAAGUUUCAUUUUACCCCUCGAACUCCUAAAAUGGACAUCCUCCAAACAAGAGUUUGUAGACAGGUUCACACCAGUUGGAAUGUUGAGAUAGGUACACUGAGAGCGUAAAUAAUUGUAACCAUAUACAUACCAUCCUAAACUUUAAUAUUUCAUUCAUGUUACCCCUUCCGUCAGUUUUCCGUGAAGCUCCGUUAACCAGAAACUGACGGAAGGAGUUAAACAAUGAAAUAUUAGAGUUUAGGGUGUUAGAUGUCUAUUUUAGGAGUUUGGGGGGUUAAGUGAAACUCGCCAAAAGUUUAGAAAAUAGCAGUGCAAUUUACCCUAAUAUGUUACUUAUGGAUUGACUACGUACUAACCCUCAAGUUAGUGAUCAUACUUGAUUUUGAAUUUAUAUAUAUUUUUAAUCCUAAAAUAAAUCAUAAUAUAAUUUAUCCUACAUUUUAUUUUAAUAAAAUAAAAGCAAAAGAAAUAAAUUAGAGUGGCUUAAAGAUAAGAAAAGAGCGAAACUAACUAUAUAUCUACGAUGCUCGAACACUUUACAAUUCUGGUGUACUCGCUAAUAUGGUUGAUUUACAAUAGAUGUCCUCACAUUCGGAUAUAGAGAUUUUAAUUCUCAGUUAAUUUUCUGUAGUACUCGUUUGUCCCUUUAUAUUUAGAAGCAUUAUUCUAGAAAAUGCACUUAUUUCCUAUGAAACUAUGCAAUGUAAUUUUAUUGUAGCCAAAAAUAAAAUUUGUGUACUUCAUUUCAGCCAAUUAGAAAAUUUUAAUAUAAAAAUAUAAAAUAAUAUUUUAUAAUACUUUAGAACAAUGCUUAAAGAUAAAAGAGACAAACGAAUACUACAGAAAAUUAACUGAGAAUUAAAAUCUCUAUAUCCGAGUAAAUACACCUAUUAUAUAUAAAUCAACCAUAUUAGCGAGUACAGUAGUACAGUAGAGUGUUCGAGUAUCGUAGGUACGUGGUUAGUAUCACUCUUUUCUUAUCUUUAUGACAUUUUAAAUCAUUUCUUUCGCUUUUAUUUUAUUAUAAUAAAAUGUAGGAUAAAUUGUUAUAUGAUUUAUUUUAGGAUAAAAAAUAUAUAUAAAUU
RNAcentral lists this long non-coding RNA (1196 nucleotides) under Ananas comosus (pineapple). RNAcentral describes it as "long non-coding RNA (ACOM_LNC016199)". The record is from RNAcentral. Lineage: Eukaryota; Viridiplantae; Streptophyta; Magnoliopsida; Poales; Bromeliaceae.